CCUACGGGGGGCUUCAGUGGGGAAUAUUGGACAAUGGGCGAAAGCCUGAUCCAGCCAUGCCGCGUGUGUGAAGAAGGCCUUCGGGUUGUAAAGCACUUUCAGUGGGGAAGAAAGCCUUGGGGCUAAUACCCUCGAGGAAGGACAUCACCCACAGAAGAAGCACCGGCUAACUCCGUGCCAGCAGCCGCGGUAAUACGGAGGGUGCGAGCGUUAAUCGGAAUUACUGGGCGUAAAGCGCGCGUAGGCGGUCUGAUAAGCCGGUUGUGAAAGCCCCGGGCUCAACCUGGGAACGGCAUCCGGAACUGUCAGGCUAGAGUGCAGGAGAGGAAGGUAGAAUUCCCGGUGUAGCGGUGAAAUGCGUAGAGAUCGGGAGGAAUACCAGUGGCGAAGGCGGCCUUCUGGACUGACACUGACGCUGAGGUGCGAAAGCGUGGGUAGCAAACAGGAUUAGAUACCCCAGUAGUC
RNAcentral lists this ribosomal RNA (465 nucleotides) under Vreelandella stevensii. RNAcentral's name for it is "partial 16S ribosomal RNA". It matches the Rfam family "Bacterial small subunit ribosomal RNA", at positions 338 to 795 of the family's 1533-position model. Lineage: Bacteria; Pseudomonadati; Pseudomonadota; Gammaproteobacteria; Oceanospirillales; Halomonadaceae. The record is from RNAcentral.